UACAGGGGGGGCAAGCGUUGUUCGGAGUUACUGGGCGUAAAGAGUGCGUAGGCGGUCCUGUAAGUUUGGUGUGAAAUCUCCCGGCUCAACUGGGAGGGUGCGCCGAAGACUGCAGGGCUUGAGUAUGGGAGAGGUAAGCGGAAUUCCUGGUGUAGCGGUGAAAUGCGUAGAUAUCAGGAGGAACACCUGUGGUGUAGACAGCUUACUGGACCAUCACUGACGCUGAGGCACGAAAGCGUGGGUAGCAAACAGG
Molecule: ribosomal RNA, 253 nt
Filed under: uncultured bacterium
Lineage: Bacteria
Description: partial 16S ribosomal RNA
Rfam family: Bacterial small subunit ribosomal RNA
Source: RNAcentral